GCCAUUGCUUUAGACCAACUGCCAUUCUCAGCUGUUGUCCAGGCAGCACUGGGCAUUUCCAAGAGGCCCAGACACCUCCCGGGCGUGACCCUACUGACAGCUGCCUGAUGUUAUACUUCACAUUGCUGCACACUGUCCACGCCUGCCUAAAUCUGAUGACUGACGCCACAGCUGCAAGUCAGGCUGCAGUGAAGACUGGGACUGGAGUUAGCUGUGCAGUGGCAAAACCAUGGCUGGUGGCUGCUGAUCAAGUGAUGUAAAUGAACAAAAGCACAACCGUAUUCAACACCAUGUGCAUAAUUUAUCAUCAGGACUGUUUCUCACUUCAAAGGAAUACCACAUGCAACAACAGUGUCAUUGCCAGUGGUAACCACUACCAAUAGUAAAACAGCCUUUGCAUGGGCAAGCCUAUUAAACAAGUGUCACGGUAAAA
Molecule: long non-coding RNA, 433 nt
Organism: Pseudophryne corroboree (corroboree frog)
Lineage: Eukaryota; Metazoa; Chordata; Amphibia; Anura; Myobatrachidae
Exons: 2
Source: RefSeq, a predicted model, not a curated record